This 1776-nucleotide ribosomal RNA is filed under the name Escherichia coli 2-156-04_S3_C3. RNAcentral describes it as "bacterial LSU rRNA". It matches the Rfam family "Bacterial large subunit ribosomal RNA", at positions 1 to 1805 of the family's 2925-position model. Lineage: Bacteria; Pseudomonadati; Pseudomonadota; Gammaproteobacteria; Enterobacterales; Enterobacteriaceae. The record is from RNAcentral.
UUAAGCGACUAAGCGUACACGGUGGAUGCCCUGGCAGUCAGAGGCGAUGAAGGACGUGCUAAUCUGCGAUAAGCGUCGGUAAGGUGAUAUGAACCGUUAUAACCGGCGAUUUCCGAAUGGGGAAACCCAGUGUGUUUCGACACACUAUCAUUAACUGAAUCCAUAGGUUAAUGAGGCGAACCGGGGGAACUGAAACAUCUAAGUACCCCGAGGAAAAGAAAUCAACCGAGAUUCCCCCAGUAGCGGCGAGCGAACGGGGAGCAGCCCAGAGCCUGAAUCAGUGUGUGUGUUAGUGGAAGCGUCUGGAAAGGCGCGCGAUACAGGGUGACAGCCCCGUACACAAAAAUGCACAUGCUGUGAGCUCGAUGAGUAGGGCGGGACACGUGGUAUCCUGUCUGAAUAUGGGGGGACCAUCCUCCAAGGCUAAAUACUCCUGACUGACCGAUAGUGAACCAGUACCGUGAGGGAAAGGCGAAAAGAACCCCGGCGAGGGGAGUGAAAAAGAACCUGAAACCGUGUACGUACAAGCAGUGGGAGCCUCUUUAUGGGGUGACUGCGUACCUUUUGUAUAAUGGGUCAGCGACUUAUAUUCUGUAGCAAGGUUAACCGAAUAGGGGAGCCGAAGGGAAACCGAGUCUUAACUGGGCGUUAAGUUGCAGGGUAUAGACCCGAAACCCGGUGAUCUAGCCAUGGGCAGGUUGAAGGUUGGGUAACACUAACUGGAGGACCGAACCGACUAAUGUUGAAAAAUUAGCGGAUGACUUGUGGCUGGGGGUGAAAGGCCAAUCAAACCGGGAGAUAGCUGGUUCUCCCCGAAAGCUAUUUAGGUAGCGCCUCGUGAAUUCAUCUCCGGGGGUAGAGCACUGUUUCGGCAAGGGGGUCAUCCCGACUUACCAACCCGAUGCAAACUGCGAAUACCGGAGAAUGUUAUCACGGGAGACACACGGCGGGUGCUAACGUCCGUCGUGAAGAGGGAAACAACCCAGACCGCCAGCUAAGGUCCCAAAGUCAUGGUUAAGUGGGAAACGAUGUGGGAAGGCCCAGACAGCCAGGAUGUUGGCUUAGAAGCAGCCAUCAUUUAAAGAAAGCGUAAUAGCUCACUGGUCGAGUCGGCCUGCGCGGAAGAUGUAACGGGGCUAAACCAUGCACCGAAGCUGCGGCAGCGACGCUUAUGCGUUGUUGGGUAGGGGAGCGUUCUGUAAGCCUGUGAAGGUGUGCUGUGAGGCAUGCUGGAGGUAUCAGAAGUGCGAAUGCUGACAUAAGUAACGAUAAAGCGGGUGAAAAGCCCGCUCGCCGGAAGACCAAGGGUUCCUGUCCAACGUUAAUCGGGGCAGGGUGAGUCGACCCCUAAGGCGAGGCCGAAAGGCGUAGUCGAUGGGAAACAGGUUAAUAUUCCUGUACUUGGUGUUACUGCGAAGGGGGGACGGAGAAGGCUAUGUUGGCCGGGCGACGGUUGUCCCGGUUUAAGCGUGUAGGCUGGUUUUCCAGGCAAAUCCGGAAAAUCAAGGCUGAGGCGUGAUGACGAGGCACUACGGUGCUGAAGCAACAAAUGCCCUGCUUCCAGGAAAAGCCUCUAAGCAUCAGGUAACAUCAAAUCGUACCCCAAACCGACACAGGUGGUCAGGUAGAGAAUACCAAGGCGCUUGAGAGAACUCGGGUGAAGGAACUAGGCAAAAUGGUGCCGUAACUUCGGGAGAAGGCACGCUGAUAUGUAGGUGAAGUCCCUUGCGGAUGGAGCUGAAAUCAGUCGAAGAUACCAGCUGGCUGCAACUGUUU